GACGAACGCUGGCGGCGUGCUUAACACAUGCAAGUCGAGCGGUAAGGCCCUUUCGGGGGUACGACGAGCGGCGAACGGGUGAGUAACACGUGGGUGACCUGCCCUCAGCUCUGGGAUAAGCCUGGGAAACCGGGUCUAAUACCGGAUAUGACUCCAUGACGCAUGUUGUGGGGUGGAAAGCCUUGUGCGGCUGAGGAUGGGCCCGCGGCCUAUCAGCUUGUUGGUGGGGUGAUGGCCUACCAAGGCGACGACGGGUAGCCGGCCUGAGAGGGCGACCGGCCACACUGGGACUGGGACACGGCCCAGACUCCUACGGGAGGCAGCAGUGGGGAAUCUUGCGCAAUGGGCGAACGCCUGACGCAGCGACGCCGCGUGAGGGAUGACGGCCUC
This 390-nucleotide ribosomal RNA is filed under the name uncultured bacterium. RNAcentral's name for it is "bacterial SSU rRNA". It matches the Rfam family "Bacterial small subunit ribosomal RNA", at positions 28 to 418 of the family's 1533-position model. The record is from RNAcentral.